This 468-nucleotide ribosomal RNA is filed under the name uncultured bacterium. RNAcentral describes it as "partial 16S ribosomal RNA". It matches the Rfam family "Bacterial small subunit ribosomal RNA", at positions 28 to 507 of the family's 1533-position model. The record is from RNAcentral.
GACGAACGCUGGCGGCGUGCUUAACACAUGCAAGUCGAACGGAAAGGCCCUGCUUUUGUGGGGUGCUCGAGUGGCGAACGGGUGAGUAACACGUGAGUAACCUGCCCUUGACUUUGGGAUAACUUCAGGAAACUGGGGCUAAUACCGGAUAGGAGCUCCUGCUGCAUGGUGGGGGUUGGAAAGUUUCGGCGGUUGGGGAUGGACUCGCGGCUUAUCAGCUUGUUGGUGGGGUAGUGGCUUACCAAGGCUUUGACGGGUAGCCGGCCUGAGAGGGUGACCGGCCACAUUGGGACUGAGAUAGGGGCCAGACUCCUACGGGAGGCAGCAGUGGGGAAUAUUGCACGAUGGGCGGAAGCCUGAUGCAGCAACGCCGCGUGCGGGAUGACGGCCUUCGGGUUGUAAACCGCUUUCGCCUGUGACGAAGCGUGAGUGACGGUAAUGGGUAAAGAAGCACCGGCUAACUACGUG